RNAcentral lists this ribosomal RNA (219 nucleotides) under Brevundimonas nasdae. RNAcentral describes it as "partial 16S ribosomal RNA". It matches the Rfam family "Bacterial small subunit ribosomal RNA", at positions 699 to 918 of the family's 1533-position model. Lineage: Bacteria; Pseudomonadati; Pseudomonadota; Alphaproteobacteria; Caulobacterales; Caulobacteraceae. The record is from RNAcentral.
CGGAAGAACACCAGUGGCGAAGGCGACACACUGGCUCAUUACUGACGCUGAGGCUCGAAAGCGUGGGGAGCAAACAGGAUUAGAUACCCUGGUAGUCCACGCCGUAAACGAUGAUUGCUAGUUGUCGGGAUGCAUGCAUUUCGGUGACGCAGCUAACGCAUUAAGCAAUCCGCCUGGGGAGUACGGCCGCAAGAUUAAAACUCAAAAAAAUUGACGGGA